This 801-nucleotide ribosomal RNA is filed under the name uncultured bacterium. RNAcentral describes it as "bacterial SSU rRNA". It matches the Rfam family "Bacterial small subunit ribosomal RNA", at positions 8 to 796 of the family's 1533-position model. The record is from RNAcentral.
AGAGUUUGAUCAUGGCUCAGGACGAACGCUGGCGGCGCGCUUAACACAUGCAAGUCGAGCGAGAACCUGGCCUUCGGGCCUGGGGAAAGCGGCGAACGGGUGAGUAACACGUGGGUAACCCACCCUUGGUACCGGGAUAGCCCGAGGAAACUCGGAUUAAUACCGGAUGGCCCAACAGCUCUUCGGGGCGGUUGGAAAAGGUAGCUUCGGCCUCCGACCAAGGACGGGCCCGCGGCGGAUUAGCUUGUUGGUGAGGUAACGGCUCACCAAGGCGACGAUCCGUAGCUGGUCUGAGAGGACGAUCAGCCACACUGGGACUGAGACACGGCCCAGACUCCUACGGGAGGCAGCAGUGGGGAAUCUUGCGCAAUGGGCGAAAGCCUGACGCAGCGACGCCGCGUGGGGGAAGAAGGCUUUCGGGUUGUAAACCCCUUUCAGGAAGGACGAAGCCACUCGGGUGAAUAGCCCAGAGGGUGACGGUACUUCCAGAAGAAGCCCCGGCUAACUACGUGCCAGCAGCCGCGGUAAUACGUAGGGGGCAAGCGUUGUCCGGAUUUAUUGGGCGUAAAGAGCGUGUAGGCGGUCAGGUAGGUCCGUUGUGAAAACUCGAGGCUCAACCUCGAGACGCCGAUGGAAACCAUCUGACUAGAGUCCGGAAGAGGAGAGUGGAAUUCCUGGUGUAGCGGUGAAAUGCGCAGAUAUCAGGAAGAACACCCGUGGCUAAGGCGGCUCUCUAGUACGGUACUGACGCUGAGACGCGAAAGCGUGGGGAGCGAACAGGAUUAGAUACCCUAGUAGUCC